GAUGAACGCUGGCGGCGUGCCUAAUACAUGCAAGUCGAGCGAACAGACGAGGAGCUUGCUCCUCUGACGUUAGCGGCGGACGGGUGAGUAACACGUGGAUAACCUACCUAUAAGACUGGGAUAACUUCGGGAAACCGGAGCUAAUACCGGAUAAUAUAUUGAACCGCAUGGUUCAAUAGUGAAAGACGGUUUUGCUGUCACUUAUAGAUGGAUCCGCGCCGCAUUAGCUAGUUGGUAAGGUAACGGCUUACCAAGGCAACGAUGCGUAGCCGACCUGAGAGGGUGAUCGGCCACACUGGAACUGAGACACGGUCCAGACUCCUACGGGAGGCAGCAGUAGGGAAUCUUCCGCAAUGGGCGAAAGCUUGACGGAGCAACGCCGCGGGAGUGAUGAAGGUCUUCGGAUCGUAAAACUCUGUUAUUAGGGAAGAACAAAUGUGUAAGUAACUAUGCACGUCUUGACGGUACCUAAUCAGAAAGCCACGGCUAACUACGU
RNAcentral lists this ribosomal RNA (496 nucleotides) under uncultured bacterium. Its description in RNAcentral is "partial 16S ribosomal RNA". It matches the Rfam family "Bacterial small subunit ribosomal RNA", at positions 28 to 506 of the family's 1533-position model. The record is from RNAcentral.